This 862-nucleotide ribosomal RNA is filed under the name uncultured bacterium. RNAcentral's name for it is "bacterial SSU rRNA". It matches the Rfam family "Bacterial small subunit ribosomal RNA", at positions 25 to 901 of the family's 1533-position model. The record is from RNAcentral.
CAGGAUGAACGCCGGCGGCGUGCUUAAGACAUGCAAGUCGAACGAAGAGAUUGUAGCAAUACGGUCUCUGAGUGGCGAAUGGGUGCGUAACACGUAGGUGACCUACCCCGAAGUGUGGAAUAACAGUCCGAAAGGACUGCUAAUACCGCAUGUGGUCCCGGGUUUUAGAAAGCCGGGUCUAAAGCAGCAAUGCGCUUCGGGAGGGGCCUGCGGCCCAUCAGCUCGUUGGUGGGGUAACGGCCUACCAAGGCAACGACGGGUAGGGGACCUGAGAGGGUGGCCCCCCACAUUGGCACUGACACACGGGCCAAACUCCUACGGGAGGCAGCAGUCGGGAAUAUUGCACAAUGGGCGAAAGCCUGAUGCAGCAACGCCGCGUGAGCGAUGAAGGCCUUCGGGUCGUAAAGCUCUUUUCGGGAGGAUGAGGAAGGACAGUACUCCCGGAAUAAGUCACGGCUAACUACGUGCCAGCAGCCGCGGUAAAACGUAGGUGGCGAGCGUUAUCCGGAUUUACUGGGCGUAAAGCGCGUUCAGGCGGUUUGGCAAGUCGGGCAUGAAAUCUCUUGGCUCAACCAGGAGGGGCUGUCCGAUACUUCCAGACUUGAGGGCAGUAGAGGAGGGUGGAAUUCCGGGUGUAGUGGUGAAAUGCGUAGAUAUCCGGAGGAACACCAGUGGCGAAAGCGGCCCUCUGGGCUGCUCCUGACGCUCAAACGCGAAAGCUAGGGGAGCGAACGGGAUUAGAAACCCCGGUAGUCCUAGCCGUAAACGAUGUUGACUGGGUGUCAGCGGUCUAAACCCCGCUGGUGCCGUAGCAAACGCGUUAAGUCAACCGCCUGGGGACUACGGCCCGCAAGGUAAAACU